GACGAACGCUGGCGGCGUGCCUAAUACAUGCAAGUCGAGCGGAGUUAGAGAAGCUUGCUUCUCUAACUUAGCGGCGGACGGGUGAGUAACACGUGGGCAAUCUGCCCGUAAGAUUGGGAUAACUCCGGGAAACCGGGGCUAAUACCGGAUAAUCCUGACUCUCUCCUGAGAGUCAGUUGAAAGAUGGUUUCGGCUAUCACUUACGGAUGAGCCCGCGGCGCAUUAGCUAGUUGGUAGGGUAAUGGCCUACCAAGGCGACGAUGCGUAGCCGACCUGAGAGGGUGAUCGGCCACACUGGGACUGAGACACGGCCCAGACUCCUACGGGAGGCAGCAGUAGGGAAUCUUCCGCAAUGGACGAAAGUCUGACGGAGCAACGCCGCGUGAGUGAAGAAGGUUUUCGGAUCGUAAAACUCUGUUGUUAGGGAAGAACACGUACGAGAGUAACUGCUCGUACCUUGACGGUAUCUAACCAGAAAGCCACGGCUAACUACGUG
This 496-nucleotide ribosomal RNA is filed under the name uncultured bacterium. RNAcentral describes it as "bacterial SSU rRNA". It matches the Rfam family "Bacterial small subunit ribosomal RNA", at positions 28 to 507 of the family's 1533-position model. The record is from RNAcentral.